GUCUUAUCAAGAGAGGUUGAGGGACAUGGCCCUGCGACACCUCAGCAACCAUCAGAUGGCUUGUCUUCUGAAAAGGUGCUAAUUCCAGCAAGUUAGCUGCUAACUUGGUAGAUAAGAA
Molecule: non-coding RNA, 118 nt
Filed under: Bacillus sp. (in: firmicutes)
Lineage: Bacteria; Bacillati; Bacillota; Bacilli; Caryophanales; Bacillaceae
Also listed under: 1 other name
Description: Bacillus sp. SAM-I sequence
Rfam family: SAM riboswitch aptamer (S box leader)
About the family: The SAM riboswitch is found upstream of a number of genes which code for proteins involved in methionine or cysteine biosynthesis in Gram-positive bacteria. The SAM riboswitch acts at the level of transcription termination control.
Source: RNAcentral